UUCGGAGGGGGCUAGCGUUAUUCGGAAUUACUGGGCGUAAAGCGCACGUAGGCGGCUUUGUAAGUCAGAGGUGAAAGCCUGGAGCUCAACUCCAGAACUGCCUUUGAGACUGCAUCGCUUGAAUCCAGGAGAGGUGAGUGGAAUUCCGAGUGUAGAGGUGAAAUUCGUAGAUAUUCGGAAGAACACCAGUGGCGAAGGCGGCUCACUGGACUGGUAUUGACGCUGAGGUGCGAAAGCGUGGGGAGCAAACAGG
RNAcentral lists this ribosomal RNA (253 nucleotides) under uncultured bacterium. Its description in RNAcentral is "partial 16S ribosomal RNA". It matches the Rfam family "Bacterial small subunit ribosomal RNA", at positions 524 to 776 of the family's 1533-position model. The record is from RNAcentral.